GGGUGAGUAACACGUAGGCAACCUGCCUGUAAGACUGGGAUAACUCGUGGAAACGCGAGCUAAUACCGGAUAACACUUUUCAUCUCCUGAUGAGAAGUUGAAAGGCGGCUUUUGCUGUCACUUACAGAUGGGCCUGCGGCGCAUUAGCUAGUUGGUAAGGUAAUGGCUUACCAAGGCGACGAUGCGUAGCCGACCUGAGAGGGUGAUCGGCCACACUGGGACUGAGACACGGCCCAGACUCCUACGGGAGGCAGCAGUAGGGAAUCUUCCGCAAUGGACGAAAGUCUGACGGAGCAACGCCGCGUGAGUGAUGAAGGUUUUCGGAUCGUAAAACUCUGUUGUUAGGGAAGAACAAGUGCCAUAGUAACUGAUGGCACCUUGACGGUACCUAACCAGAAAGCCACGGCUAACUACGUGCCAGCAGCCGCGGUAAUACGUAGGUGGCAAGCGUUGUCCGGAAUUAUUGGGCGUAAAGCGCUCGCAGGCGGUUCUUUAAGUCUGAUGUGAAAUCUUACGGCUCAACCGUAAACGUGCAUUGGAAACUGGGGAA
RNAcentral lists this ribosomal RNA (550 nucleotides) under Oceanobacillus sp. cwg-2. RNAcentral describes it as "bacterial SSU rRNA". It matches the Rfam family "Bacterial small subunit ribosomal RNA", at positions 104 to 640 of the family's 1533-position model. Lineage: Bacteria; Bacillati; Bacillota; Bacilli; Caryophanales; Bacillaceae. The record is from RNAcentral.